AAGGCCAUAGCUCAGUGAUAGAGCACUUGCCUUGCAUGCCAAGUGCCCUGGGUUCAAAUUCCAAUGGCAUCU
Non-coding RNA from Podarcis lilfordi (Lilford's wall lizard), 72 nucleotides. The record is from the annotation of a GenBank genome assembly. NCBI's taxonomy places the organism in Eukaryota, Metazoa, Chordata, Lepidosauria, Squamata, Lacertidae.